Molecule: ribosomal RNA, 596 nt
Filed under: Roseivirga sp. S120
Lineage: Bacteria; Pseudomonadati; Bacteroidota; Cytophagia; Cytophagales; Roseivirgaceae
Description: bacterial SSU rRNA
Rfam family: Bacterial small subunit ribosomal RNA
Source: RNAcentral
GAGAGUGGCGCACGGGUGCGUAACGCGUAUGCAACCUACCUUGUACAGGGGGAUAGCCCGGAGAAAUUCGGAUUAAUACCCCAUAGCAUUAUCAGAUGGCAUCUGAAGAUAAUUAAAGAUUUAUCGGUACAAGAUGGGCAUGCGUGACAUUAGUUAGUUGGUAAGGUAACGGCUUACCAAGACUAUGAUGUCUAGGGGUUCUGAGAGGAUGAUCCCCCACACUGGUACUGAGAUACGGACCAGACUCCUACGGGAGGCAGCAGUAGGGAAUAUUGGUCAAUGGGCGAGAGCCUGAACCAGCCAUGCCGCGUGCAGGAAGACGGCCUUCUGGGUUGUAAACUGCUUUUCUACGGGAAGAAAAUGCCCUUGCGAGGGAAAUUGCCGGUACCGUAGGAAUAAGCACCGGCUAACUCCGUGCCAGCAGCCGCGGUAAUACGGAGGGUGCAAGCGUUGUCCGGAUUUAUUGGGUUUAAAGGGUGCGUAGGCGGAUCUUUAAGUCAGUGGUGAAAGCCUGCAGCUUAACUGUAGAACUGCCAUUGAUACUGGAGGUCUUGAGUACACUAGAGGUAGGCGGAAUUUAUGGUGUAGCGGUGAAA